Molecule: ribosomal RNA, 253 nt
Filed under: uncultured bacterium
Lineage: Bacteria
Description: partial 16S ribosomal RNA
Rfam family: Bacterial small subunit ribosomal RNA
Source: RNAcentral
UACGUAGGGGGCAAGCGUUGUCCGGAAUCAUUGGGCGUAAAGAGCGUGUAGGCGGCUCGGUAAGUCCGCUGUGAAAGUCCAGGGCUCAACCCUGGAAUGCCGGUGGAAACUGUCGAGCUAGAGUCCGGAAGAGGCGAGUGGAAUUCCUGGUGUAGCGGUGAAAUGCGCAGAUAUCAGGAGGAACACCCGUGGCGAAAGCGGCUCUCUGGGACGGUACUGACGCUGAGACGCGAAAGCGUGGGGAGCAAACAGG